GAAGUCAGACCGGAAGGACUGGUGGAGCGCUUAGAAGUGAGAAUGCCGGUAUGAGUAGCGAAAGAAGGGUGAGAAUCCCUUCCACCGAAUAUCUAAGGUUUCCUGAGGAAGGCUCGUCCGCUCAGGGGUAGUCGGGACCUAAGCCGAGGCCGAUAGGCGUAGGCGAUGGACAACAGGUAGAGAUUCCUGUACCAGUGCUAAUUGUUUAACCGAUGGGGUGACACAGAAGGAUAGGGAAUCGCACGAAUGGAAAUGUGCGUCCAAGCAGUGAGUGUGAGAAGUAGGCAAAUCCGCUUCUCGC
RNAcentral lists this ribosomal RNA (301 nucleotides) under Listeria monocytogenes. Its description in RNAcentral is "bacterial LSU rRNA". It matches the Rfam family "Bacterial large subunit ribosomal RNA", at positions 1252 to 1552 of the family's 2925-position model. Lineage: Bacteria; Bacillati; Bacillota; Bacilli; Caryophanales; Listeriaceae. The record is from RNAcentral.